Molecule: ribosomal RNA, 292 nt
Filed under: uncultured bacterium
Lineage: Bacteria
Description: partial 16S ribosomal RNA
Rfam family: Bacterial small subunit ribosomal RNA
Source: RNAcentral
GUGCCAGCAGCCGCGGUAAUACAGACGGUCCAAACGUUAUUCGGAAUUACUGGGCUUAAAGAGUUCGUAGGCGGUCCAGAAAGUGGGGUGUGAAAGCCCUCGGCUCAACCGAGGAACUGCGCUCCAAACUACUGGACUUGAGGAGGCUAGAGGUAAGCGGAACUGAUGGUGGAGCGGUGAAAUGCGUUGAUAUCAUCAGGAACACCGGAGGCGAAGGCGGCUUACUGGGGCCUUUCUGACGCUGAGGAACGAAAGCCAGGGGAGCGAACGGGAUUAGAUACCCCAGUAGUCC